This is a ribosomal RNA of Panthera pardus (leopard), 113 nucleotides long. The record is from Ensembl. NCBI's taxonomy places the organism in Eukaryota, Metazoa, Chordata, Mammalia, Carnivora, Felidae.
GACAUUUGGUAGAGACUGUUGAAGCCACCUGGUCCCAGCAGACCCCAGAAGGCAGCCACAUUCGCUGGUGCUGGGGCAAGGUCAUUGAGGGUGAAGCCUGGUGCCAGAUGUGG